Molecule: small nuclear RNA, 105 nt
Filed under: Myotis davidii
Lineage: Eukaryota; Metazoa; Chordata; Mammalia; Chiroptera; Vespertilionidae
Source: RNAcentral
GUGCUCGCUUGAGCAGCAUAUACACUAAAAUUGGAAUGACACAAAGAAGAUUAGCAUGGCCCCUGGAAGGAUGACACGCAAAUUUAUGAAGCGUUCCAUAUUAAA